RNAcentral lists this long non-coding RNA (512 nucleotides) under Homo sapiens (human). RNAcentral describes it as "non-protein coding lnc-ZNF33B-4:15". The record is from RNAcentral. Lineage: Eukaryota; Metazoa; Chordata; Mammalia; Primates; Hominidae.
UUAGAGUACAGCAUAAGUUGUUUAUAAGUCAGUAGAAAACCAAACGUUUUCACAUUUGAAAACUAAUGUGUCCAAGCAGUACAUAACCAUGCCAGAGUCAUGCAUGGACGUGUGAGUAUCUCCCUUUUAGAGAUGUUUUGCCAGCUGGGAGGUGGACAUUUUUAGGCAAGUGACAUUUCUCAUGUUCUUUUCUUGUUUGUAAGCUACACCCUCUCGGUUUUCUCUGCUCUGCCAACACUAGUGGAAUAUGAUCACAUCCCAGGGAUCAGUGUCAUUUAGGGAUGUGACUAUGGGCUUCACUCAAGAGGAGUGGCAUCAUCUGGACCCUGCUCAGAGGACCCUGUAGAGGAAUGUGAUGCUGGAGAACUACAGCCACCUUGUCUCAGUAGGGUAUUGCAUUCCUAAACCAGAAGUGAUCCUCAAAUUGGAGACAGGCAAGGAGCCAUGGAUAUUAGAGGAAAAAUUUCGAAGCCAGAGUCAUCUGGGUGAGUUAGUGCCAGAUGGAAUUUAAA